UACGUAGGGGGCUAGCGUUGUCCGGAAUCAUUGGGCGUAAAGAGCGCGUAGGCGGUCCGUUAAGUCCGGUGUGAAAGUCGGGGGCUCAACCCUCGAAUGCCGGUGGAUACUGUCGGGCUAGAGUGCGGAAGAGGCGAGUGGAAUUCCUGGUGUAGCGGUGAAAUGCGCAGAUAUCAGGAGGAACACCUAUUGCGAAGGCAGCUCGCUGGGACGUAACUGACGCUGAGGCGCGAAAGCGUGGGGAGCAAACAGG
This 253-nucleotide ribosomal RNA is filed under the name uncultured bacterium. Its description in RNAcentral is "partial 16S ribosomal RNA". It matches the Rfam family "Bacterial small subunit ribosomal RNA", at positions 524 to 776 of the family's 1533-position model. The record is from RNAcentral.